Molecule: ribosomal RNA, 274 nt
Filed under: uncultured bacterium
Lineage: Bacteria
Description: partial 16S ribosomal RNA
Rfam family: Bacterial small subunit ribosomal RNA
Source: RNAcentral
AUACGGAGGGUGCAAGCGUUAAUCGGAAUUACUGGGCGUAAAGCGCGCGUAGGCGGUUAUUUAAGUCAGAUGUGAAAUCCCUGGGCUCAACCUAGGAACUGCAUCUGAUACUGGGUAACUAGAGUUUUGGAGAGGUAAGUGGAAUUUCCGGUGUAGCGGUGGAAUGCAUAGAGAUCGGAAGGAACACCAGUGGCGAAGGCGACUUACUGGCCAAAAACUGACGCUGAGGUGCGAAAGCGUGGGUAGCAAACAGGAUUAGAUACCCUAGUAGUCC